RNAcentral lists this ribosomal RNA (765 nucleotides) under uncultured Streptococcus sp. RNAcentral describes it as "bacterial SSU rRNA". It matches the Rfam family "Bacterial small subunit ribosomal RNA", at positions 28 to 776 of the family's 1533-position model. The record is from RNAcentral. Lineage: Bacteria; Bacillati; Bacillota; Bacilli; Lactobacillales; Streptococcaceae.
GACGAACGCUGGCGGCGUGCCUAAUACAUGCAAGUAGAACGCUGAAGAGAGGAGCUUGCUCUUCUUGGAUGAGUUGCGAACGGGUGAGUAACGCGUAGGUAACCUGCCUGGUAGCGGGGGAUAACUAUUGGAAACGAUAGCUAAUACCGCAUAAAAUUGAUUAUUGCAUGAUAAUUAAUUGAAAGAUGCAACUGCAUCACUACCAGAUGGACCUGCGUUGUAUUAGCUAGUUGGUGAGGUAACGGCUCACCAAGGCGACGAUACAUAGCCGACCUGAGAGGGUGAUCGGCCACACUGGGACUGAGACACGGCCCAGACUCCUACGGGAGGCAGCAGUAGGGAAUCUUCGGCAAUGGGGGGAACCCUGACCGAGCAACGCCGCGUGAGUGAAGAAGGUUUUCGGAUCGUAAAGCUCUGUUGUAAGAGAAGAACGGGUGUGAGAGUGGAAAGUUCACACUGUGACGGUAUCUUACCAGAAAGGGACGGCUAACUACGUGCCAGCAGCCGCGGUAAUACGUAGGUCCCGAGCGUUGUCCGGAUUUAUUGGGCGUAAAGCGAGCGCAGGCGGUUAGAUAAGUCUGAAGUUAAAGGCUGUGGCUUAACCAUAGUAUGCUUUGGAAACUGUUUAACUUGAGUGCAGAAGGGGAGAGUGGAAUUCCAUGUGUAGCGGUGAAAUGCGUAGAUAUAUGGAGGAACACCGGUGGCGAAAGCGGCUCUCUGGUCUGUAACUGACGCUGAGGCUCGAAAGCGUGGGGAGCAAACAGG